GAUGAACGCUGGCGGCGUGCCUAAUACAUGCCAGUCGAGCGAACGGACGAGAAGCUUGCUUUUCCGAUGUUAGCGGCGGACGGGUGAGUAACACGUGGAUAACCUACCUAUAAGACUGGGAUAACUUCGGGAAACCGGAGCUAAUACCGGAUAAUAUUUUGAACCGCAUGGUUCAAAAGUGAAAGACGGUCUUGCUGUCACUUAUAGAUGGAUCCGCGCUGCAUUAGCUAGUUGGUAAGGUAACGGCUUACCAAGGCAACGAUGCAUAGCCGACCUGAGAGGGUGAUCGGCCACACUGGAACUGAGACACGGUCCAGACUCCUACGGGAGGCAGCAGUAGGGAAUCUUCCGCAAUGGGCGAAAGCCUGACGGAGCAACGCCGCGUGAGUGAUGAAGGUCUUCGGAUCGUAAAACUCUGUUAUUAGGGAAGAACAUAUGUGUAAGUAACUGUGCACAUCUUGACGGUACCUAAUCAGAAAGCCACGGCUAACUACGUG
This 497-nucleotide ribosomal RNA is filed under the name uncultured bacterium. RNAcentral describes it as "partial 16S ribosomal RNA". It matches the Rfam family "Bacterial small subunit ribosomal RNA", at positions 28 to 507 of the family's 1533-position model. The record is from RNAcentral.